This 526-nucleotide ribosomal RNA is filed under the name uncultured bacterium. RNAcentral describes it as "bacterial SSU rRNA". It matches the Rfam family "Bacterial small subunit ribosomal RNA", at positions 774 to 1291 of the family's 1533-position model. The record is from RNAcentral.
AGUCAAUAGAUACCCUGGUAGUCCUGGCAGUAAACGGUGCGCGUUUGGUGUGGGAGGAUUCGACCCCUUCUGUGCCGGAGCUAAACGCGUUAAACGCGCCGCCUGGGGAGUACGGUCGCAAGAUUAAAACUCAAAGAGAUUGACGGGGGCCCGCACAAGCGGUGGAGUAUGUGGCUUAAAUUCGAUGCAACGCGAAGAACCUUACCUAGCCUUGACAUGCAUCUCUAAGUCGGUGAAAGCCGGCGACCAUAGCAAUAUGGAAUUUGCACAGGUGCUGCAUGGCUGUCGUCAGCUCGUGUCGUGAGAUGUUGGGUUAAGUCCCGCAACGGGCGCAACCCCUGUGAACUGUUGCCACCACACUACGGUGUGAGCACUCUGUUCAGACUGCCCUGUGAAACGGGGAGGAAGGUGGGGAUGACGUCAAGUCAGCAUGGCCCUUACGGCUAGGGCUGCACACGUACUACAAUGCUCAGUACAGAAUGAACCGAAACCGCGAGGUGGAGGAAAUCCCUAAAACUGAGCUCAA